This 508-nucleotide unclassified non-coding RNA is filed under the name Hevea brasiliensis (rubber tree). Lineage: Eukaryota; Viridiplantae; Streptophyta; Magnoliopsida; Malpighiales; Euphorbiaceae. The record is from RNAcentral.
GGUAGACAUAACUAGGAUCUUGAAUUUUGAUGACAAUCCAUGAUUUGACAUACUUAUGCCAUGCAUCAUAAUAAGCUUCUAAGUUCUUGUUGAUCGUCUCUAGCUGUGGAUCAACAGCUUUGACAACUUCAGGUGGAAGGGGUUUGAAACCAAGCAUCCAUCCUUCAAACAGAAUUACCGGUAGAGGUCCUUCAACCUCUGGCCAUUCGGAGGGAUCAGCUCUGUCACCUCUACCACUGUAAGCAGAUUUAUCAUAUCUUGGAAGCUUCACCUUCACACCUUCUUUUGUCAAUUUACUUAGUGCUGUCAGAGUCUCAACAGAAAAUGGAAGAUCAUGGCUUCCAGCAUUUCCACGAAACUCCAAAAGCAAGUUCCCUGGGUUGCUGUCUCUUAGUUUUGCCUGUUCUUCCGCUGUUAAGUAAAAAUCAUCAAUGGAUACUGUCGCAGCUUUCCUCCCUGUGAUUUUAAAAAGAUAUUCUAAUGCGAAUACUAGUGUUGUUUUUCCACA